CUGCCCCGUCGUCUUUGUUUAGAC
Molecule: non-coding RNA, 24 nt
Filed under: Arabidopsis thaliana (thale cress)
Lineage: Eukaryota; Viridiplantae; Streptophyta; Magnoliopsida; Brassicales; Brassicaceae
Source: RNAcentral